Pan paniscus (pygmy chimpanzee) is the source of this 554-nucleotide long non-coding RNA. Lineage: Eukaryota; Metazoa; Chordata; Mammalia; Primates; Hominidae. The record is from Ensembl.
CUGAUUGGUUAGAAAGAUCAGCUUUAUUUAGUUUGUGAGAAGCUUGUAGCGUGUAGUGAAUUGCAGGAGUUAAGAAUUAUUUUUGAGGCUGGCUACCAUACCUCCUACAGAGACUACAGGGACUUAAAAAUUUUAAGGAUGCUCAUGAUCACUAGCCAACAUUUUUAAUCAAUGCAUUGAUGAAUUAAUUAUCUUCUGUUCUUGCUCAAGAGACAUACUCUUUUGGCGAUGAGCUCACUCCUGGAACCACAUCAUGAGAGGUAUUUUUCUUCAACCAUUGCUGAGAUAAAGUUCUACACAUAAGAACCACUCCUGGAAAAGACACAUCUCUGGGCUGACCAAAGAUCAUAAUCCAUCUCUGUGCAACAUGGAAGACAAGACACCUCUAAGAAAAAACAUGUAUCUCUCUAUUUGUGGCCAUCAAAAUCCAGUCCAUGCGUUUUUUGUAAAUGCGACUUCAUCUCCCAGUAUCAGAAGGAGUGAAAAUCCAGAACUUUUACUGAACUUGAAUUUCAAUGUGAACAGCAAGAUUUGAAUAGAAACACUUUACUUUG